RNAcentral lists this non-coding RNA (30 nucleotides) under Homo sapiens (human). Lineage: Eukaryota; Metazoa; Chordata; Mammalia; Primates; Hominidae. The record is from RNAcentral.
UGAGGGGUGAUCCCAAUCUGAGUCUAUGGU